This is a non-coding RNA of Bactrocera oleae (olive fruit fly), 2686 nucleotides long. NCBI's taxonomy places the organism in Eukaryota, Metazoa, Arthropoda, Insecta, Diptera, Tephritidae. The record is from RefSeq and is a predicted model, not a curated record.
AUAAAUCAUGGAUAGUCAAAAUAAACUAUCGAUAGUGAGAGAAAAAACUAUCGAUCCUAUCGAUAGCCGCAUCGAUUGUUUUGCAGCUCUAGUUUAGAUGCUCUAAGCUAAUUUUUGGUAGAUUCCACUAUUAAUUUAAUAAUGGGAAGCUCUCGUUCGUCGCGAAGCCCUUUAAAACGACAUCACCAUAAAAGCAAGCAUAAAAAAAGAGGAAAAGAUCGUGAUAGACGUAAGAAUGGUGUGCAUAGAAGUGAUCGGUCUGAAGAAAAAUAUCGGAAUUCUAUUUCUAUAAGUAAAAAAAAUAAAUGCAAGGACUCUAUAAGUCAUUAUGAAUUUGUAAAAGAUGUUCGGGGAACUAGGCAUUCAAAAUAUAGAAAACUGACGAAUGUUGCCAAUAGCUCUAGUGACAGUCAAGAUACGGAAUAUUGCACUUAUAGUGUUGAAAGAAAACGUAAACGACAAAAAGAAAUUGAAACAGGUCAUGACGAACAAGUCAACAGAACGCAGCGGCAAGAUGAUGAAGAGAGGCAGAUUACGGAUGAAACGAGUAAGCGCAUUGAGCUAUUGGUUAAAAAACGUGUAGAAGAAGAACUAAUAAGGCGUAAAGAUGAAAUUGAAAAAGAAGUGAUGCGUAGAGUAGAAGCCGCCAAAUCUGAAAUGGAGAGGGAGCUGAUGUUCGAACUGGAAAAACAACGUGAGCAAAUUCGCGAAGAAGCUCGACAUCGAGAGGAGUUCGAGAAAAAGAAAAGAGAGCAACUGGAAGAUAUAUUUGCUGAAAACAACCGAAGAAUAGAAGAAGCCCAACGAAAAUUGAUAUUCUCGUACGUUUUCUUUGUAUGGCGUAUUACGAAAAUCGUCAAGUAAAAUACGGUUCAGUGUUUAGGGGUUCUCAUCAUAUCGCCGCUGAUGCUUCGUUUAAUGUGGCCAAACAUAAUGUGCUGCUGCCUGGCGUCGUUGGUUUGAUAUAGAGCGAGGAUGUGGUCGAUGCGGUUAAUAAAGUUGUAUAAUGAGUUCGGGUUGCCAUCAAAUCUUUCUACGUUUCCUAUUUGGUAAGCCAGUUGGGUCAUGUUAGUGCCAGAAAGUAUUAUUAUUUUUUCUGGAAGUUCCAUUUUAUUUUAUUACUAUUUUUUUAACUUAUUUUAUUCAUAAUUUCUUAGUUACUCUUAUUUGUAGUUAUUUUCGUUGAUUUGUGUUAAUUAUUCUUAUUUAUAGCUGAUUUACCUUUUUUGAAAUAGUUUUAAGUUUAUUAGUUGUCGCACUGGUAGCACUUUCGUAAGUACCAAGGUAAAUGCGUUGGACUUAUUGUAUCUAAAAUUGUUACAGUGUGUUUCUGUCUAAUAUACAGAUUUUUAGACAAAUUGCGUUUCAUGGUUAGCACACCAUUGUCGAGGUUUACAAUAAGCUUGACGCGAAUUUGACUGCCGCACGGGUUGCUUUAACGAAAGUAUAUACAAGAAUUAAGAAGCCUCGCUAUUGCAUCAAGAUUAACUUUGCGUCUACCGACAAGAUGAGUCGAACAAACGCUCUAUUGUAGAAGUAAUGCUUCAGUAAGUGAAGUGAACGACGCAAAACCGUUGACCGUAGCAGCUGUUACAACCUAUCUUGCAAUAUAAAUGAACACUAACCACCGCUUCUACUAUCCAGAACGUGGGCUAUCCGUAAAAUCACAGUCGAAUACAAUUUUUUAUAAAUAUUUUUAAUAGUUAGAUUUUAGUUUAGUUUUAGAUCUUUUACAUUAAGAAAAAUUAUAACUGAAAAGGUAAAUGCGUGCAAAACCAUCAAUAUAAACAAGGGGCGGCAGUCACUUAUUCCGGAAUAAGGUCGACGCUAAUAAAAAAAAAGAUUUUACUUUGUUUUUAGUUUUAUCCUCAAAUAUCAGCUAUGAUCAAAUCAAAUAUAGCUAUGAGCUAUUGGUCUUUUGUUUACAACAAUUGAGAGAGGAGCAAAUGUUUUGGUAAAUCUUAUGUGUGUUUGUUUUAAAUGAGAAGCACUAAGGUGACCAUUUUUAAGUGAGCAACGCAGCUGCAGUUGUAAGACGGCGUUCAGACAAAGACUAUUUUUGGCGCUCAUUAUCGGGAAAUACACUUUUGGUGUCGCUCACUGAGACACGAGUCCAACAGCUUGGGUCGAAAAAUUUUUUUCAUUUUUUUCACAUCACAUUCUUAAAUUCUUGAACGUUUCAUAUACGCGGUGCGCAAAUAUAUUUUUGAUUACCUAGUUUUUUACCCUUCACCCUUUUCUAAAAUAUUUUUUAUUAUAUUAUGCCUAUUUGCAUAGUAAAUACAAAAAAUUUAUAAUAAAAUUUCAAAUUACUAACUAAUGUAAAUAUUCUUUUGAAACCGUGCGCUAUUGCAACAAGGAAAGGAAGUUCAAAAUGAAAAGGAUUGCCGAAUUGCGUAGUAGCAAACUGUUACGAAGAAGUACACAAAGAGGAUGUAGAAAGGAUCGAGCAAGCAAAUAACUGUAUCAUUAUUGCAACACUGUUGUUCUUCUAAAGAUGCUCCACUUAUACUUAACCUAAUCAAUGCAAAUAUUUUGCCCGGCAAACCAUUGAGAAGUGGAAAUCUAAAAUUGAAUUUCUGCUGAAAAUACAUUUAAAGCUGAAGAACGAUUAGCGAUGAUAGAAGAGCAACGGCUCAUGGAAGAAAAACGUCAACGAAUGCGUAAAGAAGAAGAAAAACGUGUC